UCCCUACGGGAGGCAGCAGUGAGGAAUAUUGGUCAAUGGGCGAGAGCCUGAACCAGCCAAGUCGCGUGAGGGAAGACGGUCCUAUGGAUUGUAAACCUCUUUUGUCGGGGAGCAAAAAGACUACGUGUAGUCCCAAGCGAGAGUACCCGAAGAAAAAGCAUCGGCUAACUCCGUGCCAGCAGCCGCGGUAAUACGGAGGAUGCGAGCGUUAUCCGGAUUUAUUGGGUUUAAAGGGUGCGUAGGCGGUCCGUUAAGUCAGCGGUAAAAUUGCGGGGCUCAACCCCGUCGAGCCGUUGAAACUGGCA
RNAcentral lists this ribosomal RNA (305 nucleotides) under uncultured bacterium. Its description in RNAcentral is "bacterial SSU rRNA". It matches the Rfam family "Bacterial small subunit ribosomal RNA", at positions 335 to 638 of the family's 1533-position model. The record is from RNAcentral.